RNAcentral lists this ribosomal RNA (510 nucleotides) under uncultured bacterium. RNAcentral's name for it is "partial 16S ribosomal RNA". It matches the Rfam family "Bacterial small subunit ribosomal RNA", at positions 28 to 507 of the family's 1533-position model. The record is from RNAcentral.
GACGAACGCUGGCGGCGUGCUUAACACAUGCAAGUCGAACGAAGAGCGAUGGAAGCUUGCUUCUAUCAAUCUUAGUGGCGAACGGGUGAGUAACGCGUAAUCAACCUGCCCUUUAGAGGGGGACAACAGUUGGAAACGACUGCUAAUACCGCAUACGAUCUAAUCUCGGCAUCGAGGAAAGAUGAAAGGUGGCCUCUAUUUAUAAGCUAUCACUGAAGGAGGGGAUUGCGUCUGAUUAGCUAGUUGGAGGGGUAACGUCCCACCAAGGCGAUGAUCAGUAGCCGGUCUGAGAGGAUGGACGGCCACAAUGGGACUGAGACACGGCCCAGGCUCCUACGGGAGGCAGCAGGGGGGAAUCUUCCGCAAUGGACGAAAGUCUGACGGAGCAACGCCGCGUGAGUGAUGACGGCCUUCAGGUUGUAAAGCUCUGUUAAUCGGGACGAAAGGCCUUCUUGCGAACAGUUAGAAGGAUUGACGGUACCGGAAGAGAAAGCCACGGCUAACUACGUG